Molecule: ribosomal RNA, 444 nt
Filed under: Comamonas sp. R-26905
Lineage: Bacteria; Pseudomonadati; Pseudomonadota; Betaproteobacteria; Burkholderiales; Comamonadaceae
Description: bacterial SSU rRNA
Rfam family: Bacterial small subunit ribosomal RNA
Source: RNAcentral
UGGCUCAGAUUGAACGCUGGCGGCAUGCCUUACACAUGCAAGUCGAACGGUAACAGGUCUUUCGGGAUGCUGACGAGUGGCGAACGGGUGAGUAAUACAUCGGAACGUGCCUAGUAGUGGGGGAUAACUACUCGAAAGAGUGGCUAAUACCGCAUGAGAUCUAUGGAUGAAAGCAGGGGACCUUCGGGCCUUGUGCUACUAGAGCGGCCGAUGGCAGAUUAGGUAGUUGGUGGGAUAAAAGCUUACCAAGCCUACGAUCUGUAGCUGGUCUGAGAGGACGAUCAGCCACACUGGGACUGAGACACGGCCCAGACUCCUACGGGAGGCAGCAGUGGGGAAUUUUGGACAAUGGGGGAAACCCUGAUCCAGCAAUGCCGCGUGCAGGAUGAAGGCCUUCGGGUUGUAAACUGCUUUUGUACGGAACGAAAAGUCUUGGGUUAAUAC